GACGAGCGCUGGCGGCGUGCCUAAUACAUGCAAGUUGAGCGCUGUAGGUUGGUACUUGUACCAACUGGAUGAGCAGCGAACGGGUGAGUAACGCGUGGGGAAUCUGCCUUUGAGCGGGGGACAACAUUUGGAAACGAAUGCUAAUACCGCAUAAAAACUUUAAACACAAGUUUUAAGUUUGAAAGAUGCAAUUGCAUCACUCAAAGAUGAUCCCGCGUUGUAUUAGCUAGUUGGUGAGGUAAAGGCUCACCAAGGCGAUGAUACAUAGCCGACCUGAGAGGGUGAUCGGCCACAUUGGGACUGAGACACGGCCCAAACUCCUACGGGAGGCAGCAGUAGGGAAUCUUCGGCAAUGGACGAAAGUCUGACCGAGCAACGCCGCGUGAGUGAAGAAGGUUUUCGGAUCGUAAAACUCUGUUGGUAGAGAAGAACGUUGGUGAGAGUGGAAAGCUCAUCAAGUGACGGUAACUACCCAGAAAGGGACGGCUAACUACGUG
RNAcentral lists this ribosomal RNA (497 nucleotides) under uncultured bacterium. Its description in RNAcentral is "partial 16S ribosomal RNA". It matches the Rfam family "Bacterial small subunit ribosomal RNA", at positions 28 to 507 of the family's 1533-position model. The record is from RNAcentral.